Molecule: transfer RNA, 72 nt
Filed under: Flammulina velutipes
Lineage: Eukaryota; Fungi; Basidiomycota; Agaricomycetes; Agaricales; Physalacriaceae
Description: tRNA-Met
Rfam family: tRNA
About the family: Transfer RNA (tRNA) molecules are approximately 80 nucleotides in length. Their secondary structure includes four short double-helical elements and three loops (D, anti-codon, and T loops).
Source: RNAcentral
GAGACUUUAGCAUAAUGGUAAUGCAGUUCGCUCAUAAUGGAUAUUAUAAAGGUUCAAAUCCUUUAGGUCUUA